This 497-nucleotide ribosomal RNA is filed under the name uncultured bacterium. RNAcentral's name for it is "partial 16S ribosomal RNA". It matches the Rfam family "Bacterial small subunit ribosomal RNA", at positions 28 to 507 of the family's 1533-position model. The record is from RNAcentral.
GAUGAACGCUGGCGGCGUGCCUAAUACAUGCAAGUCGAGCGAACGGACGAGAAGCUUGCUUCUCUGAUGUUAGCGGCGGACGGGUGAGUAACACGUGGAUAACCUACCUAUAAGACUGGGAUAACUUCGGGAAACCGGAGCUAAUACCGGAUAAUAUUUUGAACCGCAUGGUUCAAAAGUGAAAGACGGUCUUGCUGUCACUUAUAGAUGGAUCCGCGCUGCAUUAGCUAGUUGGUAAGGUAACGGCUUACCAAGGCGACGAUGCAUAGCCGACCUGAGAGGGUGAUCGGUCACACUGGAACUGAGACACGGUCCAGACUCCUACGGGAGGCAGCAGUAGGGAAUCUUCCGCAAUGGGCGAAAGCCUGACGGAGCAACGCCGCGUGAGUGAUGAAGGUCUUCGGAUCGUAAAACUCUGUUAUUAGGGAAGAACAUAUGUGUAAGUAACUGUGCACAUCUUGACGGUACCUAAUCAGAAAGCCACGGCUAACUACGUG